Cotesia glomerata is the source of this 1430-nucleotide long non-coding RNA. RefSeq lists it as uncharacterized. Lineage: Eukaryota; Metazoa; Arthropoda; Insecta; Hymenoptera; Braconidae. The record is from RefSeq and is a predicted model, not a curated record. The transcript has 3 exons.
UAAAAAUUUUUAAAAGUUGAUUACCAUCUUAUUAUCAUUAUCCUCCAGGUUGGCUCAAAGUUGGCGUGCGCGUGGGCGAACACCAUAAUACAUGUUAUUUCUAGUCAACUGUGUGAAAAUCAUCGAUGAACUUUAGUUACACAUAUUUAUGGUUAUUAUUACAUUAUUUAAUACUUAUUUCCAUCAUCUUCUGGACUCUUCUCAGGUUCGCUCAGCUCAUGCAUAGAACAUCCAGCAUCAUAUAAUUAUAUGCCUGUUAACGAAUGAAUUAUAGCGCCAGCUCGGAGACACUGUGAUUUAUGGAUAUUCUUUUAUUUGAGGGAGUAGAGUCACUGCAGAGUGCGACACCCUGAUAAGUGUCGACGAUAAUAUGCUAAUAAUGAUUUGUGGUGACGGUAACUUCCGCGUUAAUCCACCUAAACGCAGCUGAAUCUCCAUUCUCCAACCAGUCAAUUAUUUCUCAGUACACAUUUCAUACAUCUUAUCCAUAAUCUUCCGCCUCUUAUUUAUUUAGAGGUCAUUGAAAUUUUUUCCACACAUCCGUUCCGAAAUCUGGAUAUUGGAAUAAAUUGCUCCAAGAAGAAAUUAUUUCAGAAUCAAUUCUAAUAUUGACAAUCUCAAAUCAUCCCCAGUUUUUCACAAACUCUAGGGUAUUGCUGACACGAGCGUUUAUGUCUACAUAAAUUCUCAUUUGAACCUCCGAUAAUAAAGUAAGCAAGAGCAGGGCAGGGGGACAGAUACGGUUGCCCGGUUCGGCGAGCACAAGUCGAUGCAUAGAUCACCAGAGGAACGCGUUUCGCUUUGGACCUCUGCUGGUGUGGUGGUUGGAGGCACCAGCCAGUACAGCUGAAGGGAAAGAAGAAGAAGAAGAAGAAAGACGGCACUGUGCCAGCCAAUAUAUACGCACGAAUGUGAACAAUAUUAUGGUGUUUGCAGUGUACUGGAUCAAGAGUUCUAUGGUCGGUACUGUAUUUUUACACGCACGUGUGCUGCAUCCGUGUGUCGACAGCAUCCCGCGAAAGGAAGAUAAAGAAAGAGACAGUAGGAUGCUUAAUUAUAUGCAUUCUCAGAAUCUGGUUGGAUCUCAGCUCUAGACUCUGGAGCUGGAGCUCUAAUGCCAAAGAACAGACAAGAGUGUAUGUGUAUUUUGCAGCGACACUACUUCACUGGUGUUUGCGUCCGGUCACAAGAACUAAAGUAGGAGGGGUAGGUAGAAGAGAAGUUGAAGGCGACCCCCUUAUUUACGACCCCCCUUGCCAUAAUGCGAAAGGUAGUUUAGAGGUAUCGAACUCCUUCCUUUUCGCUUUCCUCGCCUUUUGGUGUGUGUAUGAGAGUCAUCCUGUCGUUGUUCCUCGUUUUUGUUCUAUUCGGUGUAUAUAUUUAUUUAUUUAUUUACUUAUUUCUUUCUUUAUACAUUUAUUUAUUAUACC